Molecule: ribosomal RNA, 574 nt
Filed under: uncultured Acaulosporaceae
Lineage: Eukaryota; Fungi; Glomeromycota; Glomeromycetes; Diversisporales; Acaulosporaceae
Description: bacterial SSU rRNA
Rfam family: Eukaryotic small subunit ribosomal RNA
Source: RNAcentral
UUGGAGGGCAAGUCUGGUGCCAGCAGCCGCGGUAAUUCCAGCUCCAAUAGCGUAUAUUAAAGUUGUUGCAGUUAAAAAGCUCGUAGUUGAAUUUCGGGAUUUAUCCGUCGGUCGGGCUUUUGGGUCUGUACUGGCGUGAUGGAUUCCUACCUUCUGAAUAACCGGCAUGUCAUUAAUUUGGUGCGCUGGGGAAGCAGGACUGUUACCUUGAAAAAAUUAGAGUGCUUAAAGCAGGCUAUUGCCUGAAUACAUUAGCAUGGAAUAAUGAAAUAGGACGGCAUGGUUCUAUUUUGUUGGUUUCUAGGAUCACCGUAAUGAUUAAUAGGGAUAGUUGGGGGCAUUAGUAUUCAAUUGUCAGAGGUGAAAUUCUUGGAUUUAUUGAAGACUAACUUCUGCGAAAAGCAUUUUGCCAAGGACGUUUCUUAUAAUUACUAAGAAACGAAAAGUUAAAGGGGUAAGGUACGAAGGAACGGAAGUACAGAAGUAACCGUUACCCGUAGGUUACGUUAACCUUAAACUAAAACUUAAAACUUAGUCCGACCCGUAACGGGUAAGGUACGGUACCGGAACGUAG